Molecule: transfer RNA, 85 nt
Filed under: Felis catus (domestic cat)
Lineage: Eukaryota; Metazoa; Chordata; Mammalia; Carnivora; Felidae
Rfam family: tRNA
About the family: Transfer RNA (tRNA) molecules are approximately 80 nucleotides in length. Their secondary structure includes four short double-helical elements and three loops (D, anti-codon, and T loops).
Source: Rfam by way of RNAcentral
GCCUGAGUGGCUCAGUCGGUUGAGCGUCCGACUUCAGCUCAGGUCAUGAUUUCAUGGCUUGUGGGUUCAAGCCCCCUAUCAGGCC